AGAGCGGACUCAGAGCACCUCAAGACACAUCUUUUAUCUGUCUAAACCUGUGCACUGAGAGGCUCAUGGGUUCACCAGUGUAUGGCAGACAGUACCACAGAGCUGUGAAAUACAAGAAGUGAAGAAAAACAACAUUGGCCUGUCUCAUAUCCUCUCGAAUGAUACCAUAUGAUCA
Molecule: long non-coding RNA, 175 nt
Organism: Poecile atricapillus (Black-capped chickadee)
Lineage: Eukaryota; Metazoa; Chordata; Aves; Passeriformes; Paridae
Exons: 4
Source: RefSeq, a predicted model, not a curated record